CCUCUGAGAGCAUAUCUGCUGCAAAGGUGUUGCACCUACUCACUUCCAGUUGUAUGAGGUUGGCUGCGAUGAGAGGAUUGAAUCCGUCCACUGUUAAAUUACUGCACUCUUUUAGCCUUAGAGUGGUGAGAGAUGUGAGGUUUGAGAGCAGAGCCAUUGACUUCAUGCUUGGCUCUUUGUCAACAUCAAGUACCCUCAGGGAAGCAGGGAAAGGGUAAAUGGUCUCUGAUUCUCCCAUGCCCAUGGGCCACCGACAGAACAGUUUGCCACAGUCCUCUAUUGUUAAUGAUUGGAGCAAUGAGUUGCCCUCCUGAAUUCCUCCUCCAUUCUCUAUUGGCACAAGAACCAGGCCCUUACACUUUUUUAAGGUAAGUUCCUGCAGUGAGCUGGAUGAUGGGAACUGCAUUACACAUUUCUCAUAGCCAACUAUCACCAACACAGAGAGAGCUGGGAAACAGUUUAACACUUUUGAAGAUGAUGAUUUGCUGGCAAGAUGAGAUACAUCUAAUUUGAGACUCUUAACUGAAUGGAAGACAAUACUGCCAUCCAGUUCUUGACGGAACAAACCGUCGCAUCUUUCGAUAGUCAGGUUUGUUAGGGAUUUAAGCUUUGCGAUGUCUGUCAAUGAUAUGCACGAUGCAUUUGCAAUAUCAAUAUCUUCUACUUUAUCCAGAUUGUGGGAGGCCAAAGCACCGCCAUACUCUCUAACAACCAAUUUCUUUCCAUCAUAACACAACCAUUCUGAAUCACAUCUAUUAACCUCCAAAUCUGUCAGUGUGGAGGUGUGAGGCAUGGAGGGCAGAGACAUCUUGGGGCAGUCACAAACUUCAAGUCUGCGCAAAUUGGUGCAAGAUACCUCCGACAAGGGCAUCACAUGGAGAUUGGGACAAUCGAUGCAAUUGAUUUCUUCAAGACUUGGAAAGGAAUGGCAAUUAGGUAGCACAACCCAUUCAGCAAGUUCUGGCAUCUCAUAAAACUAAACUGUCUUCAAGCGCAUAAAACAUUUCCCUGGAGCACCACCACAUCGAGACCCAAACUGAUGCAUUCCAGAAAUUCUCUUCAGUUUGAGUCCCUUGAGAUUUGGUAGCUUCCCAAAAGGUGGAAGGGUGCUCCAAGAUAUGCCUUCUAGAAUGAGAGUCUCUAAACUUGUUAACCAUAUCUCAAGACACAACCAACGAGGACCAACGGUACCACCAUGAUUUACAAUUGUAAGUACUCUAAGAUUAGAGUGUGGUUGAAGAGCAUCAAGAAUACCAGCAUCUGUAGUUGGUUGAUCUCUGUCCCAGAGUAAUUCCAACUGGUUCAGAUUCCUUUUCAACAUCAGUUUGGCUGCAGUAGCUUCCUCCUUGGUUGCCACGUGUUCAAGACCAUGCGGGCCAAGGAGCCCUCACAAUAAAAUCGGAAGACUUAAUCUGAAAUCAUCAUCUGAAUAUGUAGUAUAGAGGAGUUUGCAUUUAUGGAGGGAUGGCAAUCAGUGGAUAUUAUGUUGAUAGCUGACAAACCAUACAUACUACAUAUCCCCUGAUGUUUGCACAACAACAGAAACAUUCCAUGGCACAGCAGCUCCAACAUACCGCAGGCAGGCCCAAGAUGCUGGGUCCUCUCCUCUCUGCAAGACAAUCAAUAGCCACAUUAGCAGAUAUAGAGAAAGCAAAAGCAGUACCAACACAAUAGAUAAAAUAUUAUAUGCAUGAAUGAAUGAAGCAUUGCCAAAAAUAAAAGAUUUGAGUUGAAAUUAAUAACCUUACGGGGUCGCCUCGGAACUGACGGGGAACAUAUAGCAUGCUCGUCCUCGGGCAGAAGAACACCAGUGAUCACCAACAAACAGUGGCAGAGUAUAGCAACAUUCAAAGUUUGAGAUUGCUAGCCAGGCCUACCGCCUGGUGAUUAGAGUAGAGCAACAUUAGUCAGUUGCUCCAGAGCUGUUCCGUUCCGCCAUAAAAAUAUAUAUGUUCCUUGAGAAUCCAUCCCAGCGAGCUUUGUCUACCUCACUUUUUCGCAUUGUGAAAUCCAUCUUCUGCAAACCUGUGAUGUAGGCCUCCACGUAUGAUUGACCAAGCCAAGUACGUAGGUGUCAGCUGGAUGUUAUGGCACGAUGAAAAGUCUCUUCUUUUUCUUUUUCAAGCAUGGAAGGCAUUCCAAGUCCCUUCAAUUACUUGUUUCAGCCAGGCCGCUUUUGUUCAAAAAAAAAAAGCCAGGCCGCUUACCUCCUCUCCUCUGCAGCAUUGUAGCAGCUGGGACAACACGUAACAUCCAUUACACCACCCGGGAAAAAAAAACUCCAUCCAGUACACAAGGGAACACGUACCAUACCCUCGUAUCGUACGUAACCACUAGGAGCAAAGAAAAAUGGAGAGGUGGGUGGCUAAAUGGCCUCGGAGGCCUUGUCUUGUGUCCAUGGAACAAACAAACAAACAANNNNNNNNNNAAAUAGCUCCUCCCUAGCUCUGUUACAUAUAUGGAUGCCCUUACCCUUAGAAAGCAACAACAUUCUGGUGACAGACAGACAGAUUUGAGCAAUUCAUCAGAGAUUACAAUGUUUCAGUGCACAACACUUUUGAGCUUUAUUAGUAUGGAAAACUUAAAAAUGAGAACAAAGUGUCAAGCACAUACUGACCUUUCAGCAUAUCAACACAGACAAUUGCCCUGUUCACUUCUAUUUGUUCUGUUUGUUUGAAUGGAUACAAGAGCUAUGUAUGUUCUGAAUCAGCUGUGAAAUUCAAUUCACUACUGAGACUGCAGAAUCCAAUAAAAUAAAAUAAGUGAACUUGGGUCAGACAGAGUAUGAACAAUGCACUCUAAGGUAACUUAAACACCAAAUCAUUAAUCAUUACCUUAGAUAAGAGUCAAGGAUCAAUGCCAGUCAAUGAAACCUAAACUAAACUUGGUGGUUGACCAAAUAAUAAUUUCAGUACUCUGCCCCAGCCAGCAUAAACUAAACUUGGUGGUUGACCAAAUAAUAAUCCUCAUUGCUUCCGUCCUAGUUAGAAGAGUAGUUCAGUGAUAUCAGGCUAAAUAUUUUCAAGAAAGAAUCAAACAAACUGGAAAGCAUUCUCCAUUCUUGUAGAGUGAAACAAAUAUUUUCAAGAAAGAACCAAACAGAUAUUUUCAAUUUCACUUCAAGAUAGUAGGAAUCCAUACCAUUCUGUAAAAUAAAUGCACCACCAAGACAUAUCAGGUGCUUUUUUACAAACAGCAGCAUCCUGUCAAAGGAAAGGAUUCAAGAAAGAGGCACUUGAUUCAUUCAUUCAUGGUAAGAAAAGAAAUAGAUCUUAUUUUUAAGAAACACCAGUUAAAUACCUCCUCUUCGCCAACAGUUAAAUUCCUGCUGCUUCAUGCGAAAAAGGAGGACAAGCCUGAUAAUUCCAUGAUUCCAGCCUCACUUCUUGCAGCUACCACUCAAGACUUCUUCUUGAUCGGUACCAAGUGAGUGAGUGAUGUCUCGCAUGCCCUUUUUGAUUUCACAUACAUAGGGAGAACAGAAGCCUGACGAAGAAAAUGCACGCAUAAACGGUGCUGUAUCAAUCUCAAUUCUACUAGCAGAAAAGGGGUACAAAAAGAAGUGGAUGAAAAGAGGCGUGUGUUGGGCUGUGAAUGUAGUCAUAAAUUAAGCACAUACAUAUUAUAAACUAGAGAAAGCAAGCAGGAGAAAGAUAAAUAAUAAGCAUGCAAAAGUGGUUGCUUUGCGCUAUGAAUGCAGUCAUAAAUUAAGGAUCAGAAAUUUGGUUCUGGAGGUACUAACCAUAACCGGCAGAUUGAGUUGAGUUGCAGAGAAAUAUCGAUCAUGUAGCAGAAUGAAGAGUUAACAGCUAGCGUAGCGUUGCAGAAUGAAGAGUCGGUUGUAUCUCGCAUCUGCUGAUUAAUGUGUGCAUAAAAGAUUGAUUGCAACAGUGGUGGGAGUGGAACCUGCUAGUCUGUAAGAUUUGACAAGUUAAUAUAAGAUGCAGCAGAAAUAUGGAUGGCGAACAAACCUCGCUUCCGAAAUAGAAAAACAAAAUAGGGAGGCGACAAGUGUUACCUUUGGUGUACUUAUCCAUGACGGAUAAAUCUGGGUUGGUUCUUUUGAUUUUCUCAAUUUGCUUGUUUACCUCAGCGCUGGAACCAAUCAUAUGUAGUUCUCUCAGCGAAACCGGGAGGCCCUCCUUGGGCAUGGAUCGGAUUUCUACACACCAAAGGACACGUAACUCCUUGAGAGAAGAAAGGCGAUGCAACCCUUGAGGAAGGGACUGCAGAACACUGCAUCUGAAAAAUGUUAGAUUCUGGAGGGAGGUGAGGAGCUGCAGCGCUUUCUCUUGCUCCUCCGUGAAGCUUUCCAUGAUCCUAUUAUCCUCGAAUACAAGUGUGUGGAGGGCCGGGGCGAGGAGGUUGCAAAUAGGAGCAACAAGCAAUCCACAGAUGUUAUCCACAUUGAGUUUCUCCAAUCUAGAGAUGUAACCCGCAGGCAAUAAUAAUUUGGCCCUCUGAGAGGCCACCUCUGAGAGCAUAUCUGCUGCAAAGGUGUUGCACCUACUCACUUCCAGUUGUAUGAGGUUGGCUGCGAUGAGAGGAUUGAAUCCGUCCACUGUUAAAUUACUGCACUCUUUUAGCCUUAGAGUGGUGAGAGAUGUGAGGUUUGAGAGCAGAGCCAUUGACUUCAUGCUUGGCUCUUUGUCAACAUCAAGUACCCUCAGGGAAGCAGGGAAAGGGUAAAUGGUCUCUGAUUCUCCCAUGCCCAUGGGCCACCGACAGAACAGUUUGCCACAGUCCUCUAUUGUUAAUGAUUGGAGCAAUGAGUUGCCCUCCUGAAUUCCUCCUCCAUUCUCUAUUGGCACAAGAACCAGGCCCUUACACUUUUUUAAGGUAAGUUCCUGCAGUGAGCUGGAUGAUGGGAACUGCAUUACACAUUUCUCAUAGCCAACUAUCACCAACACAGAGAGAGCUGGGAAACAGUUUAACACUUUUGAAGAUGAUGAUUUGCUGGCAAGAUGAGAUACAUCUAAUUUGAGACUCUUAACUGAAUGGAAGACAAUACUGCCAUCCAGUUCUUGACGGAACAAACCGUCGCAUCUUUCGAUAGUCAGGUUUGUUAGGGAUUUAAGCUUUGCGAUGUCUGUCAAUGAUAUGCACGAUGCAUUUGCAAUAUCAAUAUCUUCUACUUUAUCCAGAUUGUGGGAGGCCAAAGCACCGCCAUACUCUCUAACAACCAAUUUCUUUCCAUCAUAACACAACCAUUCUGAAUCACAUCUAUUAACCUCCAAAUCUGUCAGUGUGGAGGUGUGAGGCAUGGAGGGCAGAGACAUCUUGGGGCAGUCACAAACUUCAAG
RNAcentral lists this long non-coding RNA (5303 nucleotides) under Triticum aestivum (bread wheat). RNAcentral describes it as "long non-coding RNA (TAES_LNC015590)". Lineage: Eukaryota; Viridiplantae; Streptophyta; Magnoliopsida; Poales; Poaceae. The record is from RNAcentral.